RNAcentral lists this ribosomal RNA (255 nucleotides) under uncultured bacterium. RNAcentral's name for it is "partial 16S ribosomal RNA". It matches the Rfam family "Bacterial small subunit ribosomal RNA", at positions 524 to 776 of the family's 1533-position model. The record is from RNAcentral.
UACGUAGGGGGCAAGCGUUGUUCGGAUUUACUGGGCGUAAAGGGCGCGUAGGCGGCCUCUGCAAGUCGACUGUGAAAUCUCCGGGCUUAACCCGGAAAGGUCAGCCGAUACUGCAGGGCUAGAGUGCAGAAGGGGCAACUGGAAUUCUCGGUGUAGCGGUGAAAUGCGUAGAUAUCGAGAGGAACACCUGCGGCGAAGGCGGGUUGCUGGGCUGACACUGACGCUGACAGCGCGAAAGCUAGGGGAGCGAACGGG